UACGUAGGGUCCGAGCGUUGUCCGGAAUUACUGGGCGUAAAGAGCUCGUAGGUGGUUUGUCGCGUUGUUCGUGAAAACUCACAGCUCAACUGUGGGCGUGCGGGCGAUACGGGCAGACUGGAGUACUGCAGGGGAGAAUGGAAUUCCUGGUGUAGCGGUGAAAUGCGCAGAUAUCAGGAAGAACACCCGUGGCGAAGGCGGUUCUCUGGGACGGUACUGACGCUGAGACGCGAAAGCGUGGGGAGCAAACAGG
Molecule: ribosomal RNA, 253 nt
Filed under: uncultured bacterium
Lineage: Bacteria
Description: partial 16S ribosomal RNA
Rfam family: Bacterial small subunit ribosomal RNA
Source: RNAcentral